Octopus bimaculoides (California two-spot octopus) is the source of this 496-nucleotide long non-coding RNA. NCBI's taxonomy places the organism in Eukaryota, Metazoa, Mollusca, Cephalopoda, Octopoda, Octopodidae. The record is from RefSeq and is a predicted model, not a curated record.
AUGAAUGUAAAUUGAAGAGAAUGUCUGAAACCGAUUCUAUUUAAAUCGCUAAUUUACAAUAAAGAUCUACGUAACUGCAUGAUUGAAAAACGUAUUUUUUCUCAUCCUAGCUGUAUCAACUUUCGACUUGAAACAAAAUUGUGAUAAGUUAGCGAAAAUUGGUUGUCCCGAGACUUAUCGAAUUCAUACAAAUUCAGACCCGGUCUGCCAUUCUGCCGAAGUUUUCGACGAGUGUUAUCUUCCAGACAUGCAUCGUGAUUGUCAACAUUUGUUUAAAAAAAUGAAGAAAUGUCAAAAAAAACAAGUCUAACAAUGCCGAGAGGCCCAUGCAAACACUAUUCCUUACUGUACUUGUCGUUAAUGUACUAAUGCAAAUCUAAAUGAAGAUAAUGAUGCAAUAACGAUUUACUUGCAUUAUUUGUAAUUUUAUUGGUUCUACAAUUUAUGUAUUUGAGAGGUUCUGUAAGAAUAACUGGGAAGUAAACGCUAAAAUCUA